GAAUAGGGGAGCCGGAGGGAAACCGAGUCUUAAUUGGGCGUUAAGUUGCAGGGUAUAGACCCGAAACCCGGUGAUCUAGCCAUGGGCAGGUUGAAGGUUGGGUAACACUAACUGGAGGACCGAACCGACUAAUGUUGAAAAAUUAGCGGAUGACCUGUGGCUGGGGGUGAAAGGCCAAUCAAACCGGGAGAUAGCUGGUUCUCCCCGAAAGCUAUUUAGGUAGCGCCUCGUGAAUUCAUCUCCGGGGGUAGAGCACUGUUUCGGCUAGGGGGCCAUCCCGGCUUACCAACCCGAUGCAAACUGCGAAUACCGGAGAAUGUUAUCACGGGAGACACACGGCGGGUGCUAACGUCCGUCGUGAAGAGGGAAACAACCCAGACCGCCAGCUAAGGUCCCAAAGUCAUGGUUAAGUGGGAAACGAUGUGGGAAGGCCCAGACAGCCAGGAUGUUGGCUUAGAAGCAGCCAUCAUUUAAAGAAAGCGUAAUAGCUCACUGGUCGAGUCGGCCUGCGCGGAAGAUGUAACGGGGCUAAACCAU
This 537-nucleotide ribosomal RNA is filed under the name Salmonella enterica subsp. enterica serovar Senftenberg. Its description in RNAcentral is "partial 23S ribosomal RNA". It matches the Rfam family "Bacterial large subunit ribosomal RNA", at positions 655 to 1190 of the family's 2925-position model. RNAcentral also lists the same sequence under 3 other names. Lineage: Bacteria; Pseudomonadati; Pseudomonadota; Gammaproteobacteria; Enterobacterales; Enterobacteriaceae. The record is from RNAcentral.